CAAUGAUAUUCACAUCACCUUAAUUCCCUGUGUAGUCAUUAACAUGAGUCUUGGAAUGAAAAGAAACCUUGCAAGAAUUCCAUGAAUACAGGAAUGAGGGGAGAUGCUGUGAUCACUGAGAUGAAGAGAAGAGGGAGCUGCGAGGGACCACUUUCAACACAGAAGCUGCACACAGCACAGAAAUUUGGCCCAGCUAUUGUAAGAACCAAACACAAGAUUUCAAAAGACCUCAAGUCUGCCCCCUGGUGUGAAGAUCGGUAAAACAACCUGCACGUGUUGAAUAGGCUUCUUAGGCAACAUAGACAAGGCUGAAAUCAUACCGGUCUACACAAAACCUAAUGCACAUAGUAGGACAAUAGCAUCCACCCCAUUGUUUUUACAUUGAAUCUCACCAGCCACUGUGGAGAACAUCAAAGAAAUGAAAAAUUAGCCUCUGUCCUCCAGGUAAGUACGUAGAUAUUAGAAUACACCCUGGCACCCGCUAUUUCUGCUGCAUUUCUUGAAA
This 505-nucleotide long non-coding RNA is filed under the name Chinchilla lanigera (long-tailed chinchilla). Its description in RNAcentral is "lncRNA (ENSCLAG00000022771.1)". Lineage: Eukaryota; Metazoa; Chordata; Mammalia; Rodentia; Chinchillidae. The record is from RNAcentral.